Apis laboriosa (Himalayan honeybee) is the source of this 1080-nucleotide long non-coding RNA. RefSeq lists it as uncharacterized. The transcript has 4 exons. Lineage: Eukaryota; Metazoa; Arthropoda; Insecta; Hymenoptera; Apidae. The record is from RefSeq and is a predicted model, not a curated record.
UACAUUUCAGGAAAAGGGUUGAGUGUGGUUAAGCUCUGGUGGAUGUUGAUGAGUUUUUCGAGAGUUUUGGAGAUGAAAUAUUCGAGUGCUUUCCGGAAUUAAGCGCGCUUUCUUUGCGGUCGGUUACAAAGUGUUGGAGUUAGAAAAGAAAGAAACGCAAAUGUCACGCUUCCCAGAGAGAGACUUCCCCCUAAACACAUAGAAAGAUACUCUUGUUCCGCGCAAAACAGCGCCAGGUCAACGACACUUUAACUGAUCUCAAUUCCGUAUAACCAAGAGCUAAUUGUAUCAAAGUAGGGAGGAGAGGAGAAACGGCAAAGUGGAAAACGUUUCCACGUAACUCGAUCAACGUCAAGGUGUCCACCCAUGUUACCGCGUCUACGACCAGUCUGACCACUUAUCGACAUCUGUAAAUGCACCUUGAACGGGUCCAACGACGACUUUAUCCAUCGUUGUUGAUUCACCGCCAGUUAUCGAUAAAUUAACGCGGCGUAAACUUGACGCGUUAUCGUGCGUUGGCCACGCCUCUCUCCCUUUCUAUACCGAAAACGGGAGAGAUCGUGGGAUGGACGUGUGUUGCAACCGAUAACGAUAACGAUGCAUCGCCGACCAUGGUUGCGGAAAACGAUCGCCCACAGUUACUUAAAAAAAUGUCACCAAUUUAAAAAAUAUCACACGCAAGAGGUUAAUUACGUACAAGAAAUUAUUCUUUUCGCUCGAAGUUUUCCAGUUUUCGUUUGUGCAAAAUCUAUCAAAUAUAUAACAUCGAAGUAAACGUUUGGUAGAGCAUCGAUAUGGAAGAUGGUGCACAAGAAACGCUGGCAGUGAAGUUCCGGGUGAAACGAACGCUUUGCAUGCGUGUAUCAGCCUUCCCCAUAAAGCUUAAUUGCGAUUGAAGGUCUUCGGCAUAACCCAGACAUGGAUUAAGGUGCAACCAUAGAAGCAUACACGUUACAAAGUGCCGGUUACCGGUUUGAAGCGUUUAUUAAUGCAAUAACGUGCCGCGAUAAACUUCCACCAUAAUUCGCCUCAUUUCAUUUUAAUCUUAAGUUUAACGUUAUACGUUAUCAUUCGAAAACG